CCUAAACUGCCAGGCACAGUGCUGAGAACACAGCAGACACACAAUAAAUAUCUUCUGGAAGAGUGAACUCCCAGGUACCCAUAAAGCUAGAAGAAACUAACAUUUUCACCUUGGAGAAGCUGGUCCCAAGGGGACACGGGCUCGAUUCCUGGUCCAGGAUGAUUCCACAUGCCAAAGAGCAAUUAAGCCCAUGCACCAC
This is a long non-coding RNA of Hippopotamus amphibius kiboko, 199 nucleotides long. RefSeq lists it as uncharacterized. The record is from RefSeq and is a predicted model, not a curated record. The transcript is spliced from 3 exons. Lineage: Eukaryota; Metazoa; Chordata; Mammalia; Artiodactyla; Hippopotamidae.